This 18-nucleotide non-coding RNA is filed under the name Arabidopsis thaliana (thale cress). The record is from RNAcentral. RNAcentral also lists the same sequence under 2 other names. Lineage: Eukaryota; Viridiplantae; Streptophyta; Magnoliopsida; Brassicales; Brassicaceae.
CCCUGUUGAGCUUGACUC